RNAcentral lists this ribosomal RNA (427 nucleotides) under uncultured bacterium. RNAcentral describes it as "partial 16S ribosomal RNA". It matches the Rfam family "Bacterial small subunit ribosomal RNA", at positions 355 to 774 of the family's 1533-position model. The record is from RNAcentral.
UGGGGAAUAUUGCACAAUGGGCGCAAGCCUGAUGCAGCCAUGCCGCGUGUAUGAAGAAGGCCUUCGGGUUGUAAAGUACUUUCAGCGAGGAGGAAGGCGUUGUGGUUAAUAACCGCAGCGAUUGACGUUACUCGCAGAAGAAGCACCGGCUAACUCCGUGCCAGCAGCCGCGGUAAUACGGAGGGUGCAAGCGUUAAUCGGACUUAAUGGGUGUAAAGCGCACGCAGGCGGUCUGUCAAGUCGGAUGUGAAAUCCCCGGGCUCAACCUGGGAACUGCAUCCGAAACUGGCAGGCUAGAGUCUUGUAGAGGGGGGUAGAAUUCCAGGUGUAGCGGUGAAAUGCGUAGAGAUCUGGAGGAAUACCGGUGGCGAAGGUGGCCCCCUGGACAAAGACUGACGCUCAGGUGCGAAAGCGUGGGGAGCAAACA